GAUGAACGCUGGCGGCGUGCUUAACACAUGCAAGUCGAACGGACUUUACAUGAAACCUAGUGAUUGUAAAGUUAGUGGCGGACGGGUGAGUAACGCGUGAAUAACCUGCCUUAUACUGGGGGACAACAGUUGGAAACGACUGCUAAUACCGCAUAAGCGCACAGUUCUGCAUGGAACAGUGUGAAAAACUCCGGUGGUAUAAGAUGGAUUCGCGUCUGAUUAGCUAGUUGGUGAGGUAACGGCUCACCAAGGCGACGAUCAGUAGCCGGCCUGAGAGGGUGAACGGCCACAUUGGGACUGAGACACGGCCCAAACUCCUACGGGAGGCAGCAGGUGGGGAAUAUUGCACAAUGGGGGAAACCCUGAUGCAGCGACGCCGCGUGAGUGAAGAAGUAUUUCGGUAUGUAAAGCUCUAUCAGCAGGGAAGAAAAUGACGGUACCUGACUAAGAAGCCCCGGCUAACUACGUG
This 469-nucleotide ribosomal RNA is filed under the name uncultured bacterium. RNAcentral's name for it is "bacterial SSU rRNA". It matches the Rfam family "Bacterial small subunit ribosomal RNA", at positions 28 to 507 of the family's 1533-position model. The record is from RNAcentral.